AUCCAGCUGACGAGUCCCAAAUAGGACGAAAUGCGACUGGAU
This 42-nucleotide non-coding RNA is filed under the name Trichobilharzia regenti. Lineage: Eukaryota; Metazoa; Platyhelminthes; Trematoda; Strigeidida; Schistosomatidae. The record is from RNAcentral.